GCAGGAAGGAAAAAAAAAAAAAAAAAGAACGCGAAAGGAAAGCAAAGGAAGAGACGGGGCGAUACACACACUUCUUCUGGUCUUUUUGAUCGUUCCCUUCUACUUUCUCAUUAGAGCUCUCCGUUGCUUUUGCCUUCUCUUCCUUCAUUUCCUUCAUUU
This 159-nucleotide non-coding RNA is filed under the name Chromera velia. The record is from RNAcentral. Lineage: Eukaryota; Chromeraceae.